UAGUUCUCAGGGAAGAAGCUCUCAAACCAGC
This 31-nucleotide non-coding RNA is filed under the name Mus musculus (house mouse). The record is from RNAcentral. Lineage: Eukaryota; Metazoa; Chordata; Mammalia; Rodentia; Muridae.